GCUCAGAUUGAACGCUGGCGGCAUGCCUUACACAUGCAAGUCGAACGGUAACAGCACUUCGGUGGCUGACGAGUGGCGGACGGGUGAGUAAUACAUCGGAACGUGCCCGAUCGUGGGGGAUAACUACUCGAAAGAGUGGCUAAUACCGCAUACGAUCUACGGAUGAAAGCGGGGGAUCGCAAGACCUCGCGCGGACGGAGCGGCCGAUGGCAGAUUAGGUAGUUGGUGGGAUAAAAGCUUACCAAGCCGANCGAUCUGUAGCUGGUCUGAGAGGACGACCAGCCACACUGGGACUGAGACACGGCCCAGACUCCUACGGGAGGCAGCAGUGGGGAAUUUUGGACAAUGGGGGAAACCCUGAUCCAGCCAUGCCGCGUGCAGGAUGAAGGCCUUCGGGUUGUAAACUGCUUUUGUACGGAACGAAAAGACUCUUUCUAAUACAGAGGGUCCAUGACGGUACCGUAAGAAUAAGCACCGGCUAACUACGUGCCA
RNAcentral lists this ribosomal RNA (492 nucleotides) under uncultured bacterium. RNAcentral's name for it is "bacterial SSU rRNA". It matches the Rfam family "Bacterial small subunit ribosomal RNA", at positions 22 to 510 of the family's 1533-position model. The record is from RNAcentral.